This 484-nucleotide ribosomal RNA is filed under the name uncultured bacterium. RNAcentral describes it as "partial 16S ribosomal RNA". It matches the Rfam family "Bacterial small subunit ribosomal RNA", at positions 29 to 507 of the family's 1533-position model. The record is from RNAcentral.
AGUGAACGCUGGCGGCGGGCCUAACACAUGCAAGUCGAGCGGCCGCACGGGGGCAACGCUUGCGGCGAGCGGCGGACGGGUGAGUGAUUCGUCGGAAUCUGCCUUUUUGUGGGGGAUGACGUAGGGACACUUACGCUAAUCCCGCAUACGUCAUACGGGUGAACGUGAGGGACCGAAAGGCCUCGCCCGGCAAGAUGACCCGACGACAGAUUAGCUAGUUGGUGGGGUAAAGGCCCACCAAGGCGACGAUCGGUAGCUGGUCUGAGAGGAUGAUCAGCCACACUGGGACUGAGACACGGCCCAGACUCCUACGCGAGGCAGCAGUGGGGAAUCUUCGACAAUGGGCGCAAGCCUGAUCCAGCCAUGCCGCGUGUGUGAAGAAGGCCUUCGGGUUGUAAAGCACUUUUGUUCGGAAAGAAAACACGGGUGCGAAUACCUGCGGGGGAUGACGGUACCGGAAGAAUAAGCAACGGCUAACUACGUG